UACGUAGGGUGCAGGCGUUAAUCGGAAUUACUGGGCGUAAAGCGUGCGCAGGCGGUUUCUUAAGUCAGAUGUGAAAUCCCCGGGCUUAACCUGGGAACUGCGUUUGAAACUGGGAGACUUGGGUGUGGCAGAGGGGGGUGGAAUUCCACGUGUAGCAGUGAAAUGCGUAGAUAUGUGGAGGAACACCAAUGGCGAAGGCAGCCCCCUGGGUCAACACUGACGCUCAUGCACGAAAGCGUGGGGAGCAAACAGG
This 253-nucleotide ribosomal RNA is filed under the name uncultured bacterium. RNAcentral describes it as "partial 16S ribosomal RNA". It matches the Rfam family "Bacterial small subunit ribosomal RNA", at positions 524 to 776 of the family's 1533-position model. The record is from RNAcentral.